GCCCUCUGGCUCCGAGAGCUGCUUCUCCUGUUUCAAUUUCCAUGUCCUCUCCAUGUUGUAACUCAAGGAGCUCCUCUGGCUUAGGAACAGCUGACGACCCAGCCAGAUCUCUGCCGAGGCACCUGGAACAGGGGCGAUGGGCACUGACGUUCAGGAAUGCUCUGGGGUACCCUGUCCUGGCUGCCAUGCCUCACUGGAAGGUUUCUACACAAGUAUUUCUAAGGAGAAGUGCUUGAACUACAAGGACCCAGCUGAGAGGGAAGUCCAGAACACAGUGCCUGGAGUGACAGAGGACAUGAUUAUUAAUCUGAGAGAAAGAGGAAGGGAGAGAGACAGAAAGAAAAACAUCCACCAGUUGCCUCCUGCAUGAACCCCAAGCAGGGAUCGAACCACAACCUUUUGGUGUACAGGAUGAUGAUCCAACGAACCGAGCCAUCCAACCAGGGCCCAACACACAUUCUUCUGACCUUUGCACAUGCUUCCCAUCACUGGCCCCCUGAGAGCAGGAGUAUCUCUCCCUACUCAGAGAGCCAGGCAUGAAGCACAGAGCCUCUGGCUCCCGAGUUGUUCAUCUUUUAUAUCCUGUUCCCCUGGGUGCUGAGCAAGAUCUGAUUGCCCAGGAAGCUACAUGUCAUUGCUCUGCCACUGGCCCUCGGAUUGACUUUGCUGCCACUUCCCAGUGGCUAGGAUGAAAUGCCACCUAGAAGCUGGAUGAAGGCAGCCUUUACUGUUGGUAUCACCUCCAGUAGCCACUAUCUCAGAUUCUCACCUAGAAGGCCUAAAGAGAAGCACACAAGACCAUUACUGGCAUUUUCAGGAAUUAAAGAUUAAUAGAAAGGAACUCAUUGUCCUAAAUCCUCUGUUGGGUAUGAGAUUUAGGAAAUUCCCUUCUUGAGAUUAUUGGUGAGGCUAAGUUUCCGGUGACCUAAUGUAAUUGGCCUAUUAUCUGGGAACUUUGAGCUGAGUUGUCAGAAAGAGACAUUUAAGGACUUUAAACCCAGGAAUGGAUUAUAAGCACUGGUGAGUUCUUAUGUCAGGAGAGCCUUGAAAACAGAGGUGGAUAUGAUGAAUCUGAGCAGUUGGGUGCUGUCCUGUCUGAAGUAAAAGAAUAACUCAAGGUUAUUUGAGAGUCUUUGCUGCACUUCGAUUUUGCAAAAUCUUCACUUCUAUUUGUCAACCUACAGCCUGAAGAUGAAGAAGUUACAGUCUUGGUGUUUCAACUUUUCCAGAACACCAAGGAAUAUCCUGCAGGUAUUCUAUAAACAGGGCCCUCUGGUGUUAUGGCAUAUCCCAAUGCUACACUAGAUUGGAUAUUUACAACCAUUAUGAAGCUGGAACCCCUGUCACUUAUUUGAUUAGUAUCUUUGCCAAGUGCUUCAUGUAAAGUACAUAUAUAUUUCAUUUAUUAAAGCAAAUAAUAAUUGAUUAUGUUGUGAGGAUUUUGCUAGAUCACUUAAGAAAAUUGGAGGCCCGUGGAAAUUGUCACAGGGGAUAGUCUGCAUUUAACCAUUCUUUGUAUGUUAGAAUCUGAGACCAUAAAGCCAGAAGUCAUAGAGACUGGUAUUUGAGUUUACUGAAGCUCAUAUAAGGAGAGAAACAAGUCAUUGUGUCACCAGGCACAUUAAAAACUGUGUGAUUACUUUCACCCAAAAUCGUAGGCACAUUGAACACUUU
Artibeus jamaicensis (Jamaican fruit-eating bat) is the source of this 1674-nucleotide long non-coding RNA. RefSeq lists it as uncharacterized. The transcript has 3 exons. NCBI's taxonomy places the organism in Eukaryota, Metazoa, Chordata, Mammalia, Chiroptera, Phyllostomidae. The record is from RefSeq and is a predicted model, not a curated record.